This is a non-coding RNA of Xylariaceae sp. FL0594, 135 nucleotides long. The record is from the annotation of a GenBank genome assembly. Lineage: Eukaryota; Fungi; Ascomycota; Sordariomycetes; Xylariales; Xylariaceae.
GGCCUCGUGGCCUAAUGGCUAGGGCGCUAGAUUUCGGUCUGCUUUCCCUUCGACAUCUCCAAUGUGAAAGAACGUCAAGGGAGAUCUACAAAGCUGAUUCUCUAGAGAUUGUCGGUUCGAGUCCGGCCGAGGUCG